This 23-nucleotide non-coding RNA is filed under the name Gossypium hirsutum (cotton). Lineage: Eukaryota; Viridiplantae; Streptophyta; Magnoliopsida; Malvales; Malvaceae. The record is from RNAcentral.
UGUUCGGUGUUUGUGAUUGCUCC